This 584-nucleotide ribosomal RNA is filed under the name Cibicidoides lobatulus. RNAcentral's name for it is "bacterial SSU rRNA". It matches the Rfam family "Eukaryotic small subunit ribosomal RNA", at positions 1220 to 1547 of the family's 1831-position model. Lineage: Eukaryota; Foraminifera; Rotaliida; Anomalinidae. The record is from RNAcentral.
GGGUCCGGACACACUGAGGAUUGACAGGCAAUAUUAAUACGUUUUGCUUCGGUAAACGCGUAUUAUGUUAAAUAUGCUAGUCCUUUCAUGAUUAUGUGAUAGGUGGUGCAUGGCCGUUCUUAGUUCGUGAAGUGAUCUGUCAGCUUAAUUGCGUUUCACUAAGGGCCUAUAAAUUUACGUGUGUUGCAUCGCACUUUGACCCCUUUCUUUAAUUAGAGAGCGCGUGUCUUAGUUUUCGCUUUGCUCAUACAAUUAGGUCCUGAAAGCAACGAACGUGACCGCAACCUCUUGUUGCCUUUAUACCAAACAUGUUUUGCGUCAAUUUUUACGAAUUGCGCGCAUUUCAUGAAAAAAGGCUUUUUAAACUAGAGGGACCGCUGUUACUUUCUUAAACCAGAGGAAGGUUGCGGCAAUAACAGGUCUGUGAUGCCCUUAGAUGUUCCGGGCUGCACACGUGCUACAAUGAUUAUUGCAGUGAGCAUCUCAUUUUUACACACCGCAUGCGCGAGUCCAUUUAUUCACCUUCGGGUGUUUUAAAUGUGUAUCUCUGCGCGCGGUAAAGCCUGCUUCGACAGUAAGUGGGU